GACGAACGCUGGCGGCGUGCCUAAUACAUGCCAGUUGAGCGCUGAAGGUUGGUACUUGUACCAACUGGAUGAGCAGCGAACGGGUGAGUAACGCGUGGGGAAUCUGCCUUUGAGCGGGGGACAACAUUUGGAAACGAAUGCUAAUACCGCAUAAAAACUUUAAACACAAGUUUUAAGUUUGAAAGAUGCAAUUGCAUCACUCAAAGAUGAUCCCGCGUUGUAUUAGCUAGUUGGUGAGGUAAAGGCUCACCAAGGCGAUGAUACAUAGCCGACCUGAGAGGGUGAUCGGCCACAUUGGGACUGAGACACGGCCCAAACUCCUACGGGAGGCAGCAGUAGGGAAUCUUCGGCAAUGGACGAAAGUCUGACCGAGCAACGCCGCGUGAGUGAAGAAGGUUCUCGGAUCGUAAAACUCUGUUGGUAGAGAAGAACGUUGGUGAGAGUGGAAAGCUCAUCAAGUGACGGUAACUACCCAGAAAGGGACGGCUAACUACGUG
This 497-nucleotide ribosomal RNA is filed under the name uncultured bacterium. Its description in RNAcentral is "partial 16S ribosomal RNA". It matches the Rfam family "Bacterial small subunit ribosomal RNA", at positions 28 to 507 of the family's 1533-position model. The record is from RNAcentral.